Molecule: ribosomal RNA, 995 nt
Filed under: uncultured bacterium
Lineage: Bacteria
Description: bacterial SSU rRNA
Rfam family: Bacterial small subunit ribosomal RNA
Source: RNAcentral
UGGGGAAUAUUGCACAAUGGGGGAAACCCUGAUGCAGCGACGCCGCGUGGAGGAAGAAGGUCUUCGGAUUGUAAACUCCUGUUGUUGGGGAAGAUAAUGACGGUACCCAACAAGGAAGUGACGGCUAACUACGUGCCAGCAGCCGCGGUAAAACGUAGGUCACAAGCGUUGUCCGGAAUUACUGGGUGUAAAGGGAGCGCAGGCGGGAAGACAAGUUGGAAGUGAAAUCUAUGGGCUCAACCCAUAAACUGCUUUCAAAACUGUUUUUCUUGAGUAGUGCAGAGGUAGGCGGAAUUCCCGGUGUAGCGGUGGAAUGCGUAGAUAUCGGGAGGAACACCAGUGGCGAAGGCGGCCUACUGGGCACCAACUGACGCUGAGGCUCGAAAGUGUGGGUAGCAAACAGGAUUAGAUACCCUGGUAGUCCACACCGUAAACGAUGAUUACUAGGUGUUGGAGGAUUGACCCCUUCAGUGCCGCAGUUAACACAAUAAGUAAUCCACCUGGGGAGUACGACCGCAAGGUUGAAACUCAAAGGAAUUGACGGGGGCCCGCACAAGCAGUGGAGUAUGUGGUUUAAUUCGACGCAACGCGAAGAACCUUACCAAGUCUUGACAUCCCUUGACAGACAUAGAAAUAUGUUUUCUCUUCGGAGCAAGGAGACAGGUGGUGCAUGGUUGUCGUCAGCUCGUGUCGUGAGAUGUUGGGUUAAGUCCCGCAACGAGCGCAACCCUUAUGGUCAGUUACUACGCAAGAGGACUCUGGCCAGACUGCUGUUGACAAAACGGAGGAAGGUGGGGAUGACGUCAAAUCAUCAUGCCCUUUAUGACUUGGGCUACACACGUACUACAAUGGCGUUAAACAAAGAGAAGCAAGACCGCGAGGUGGAGCAAAACUCAGAAACAACGUCCCAGUUCGGACUGCAGGCUGCAACUCGCCUGCACGAAGUCGGAAUUGCUAGUAAUCGUGGAUCAGCAUGCCACGGUGAAUACGUUCCC